GGAUGAGGUCCUACUUGGUCGGGGUGGGUCCUAACCCAGGGACAGGUGUGCCAAGAAGGGACAGGUCAGAGACAUAGCAGGGAACAUGGCCAUAUGGGAACAGAUGCAGGGGUGGGUGGUGCUGGGACAAGCUGGGGGGGGGCACCAGAGGCUGCAGGGGGCCCUGGAGCCAGCCUGCCCAAACCUUGAUUUUGGACAGUGGCCUCCACAUGGGGGAGAGAAUAUGGGAGAGAAUACAGUUUUUUUAAAUUUUUUUAAAUUUUUAUUUAUUUAUGAUAGUCACACACACAGAGAGAGAGAGAGAGAGAGAGAGAGGCAGAGACGUAGGCAGAGGGAGAAGCAGGCUCCAUGCACUGGGAGCCCGACGUGGGAUUCGAUCCCGGGUCUCCAGGAUCGCGCCCUGGGCCAAAGGCAGGCGCUAAACCGCUGCGCCACCCAGGGAUCCCGAGAAUACAGUUUUAAGCUACCAUAUGUGUCAGGUACUUUGCUAAGGCAGCGACCCGGGCCCACUGCUUGGUGUCGACAUCACCCCACAAUGUGGGUCCCUGGGGUCCCUGCGGGGUGGGUCCUGAGCGGGGAGCAGGGCGUGGGGGGAGGGGCCAGGGUACCUGGAGAGGUCUCAGGCCUACCCAUGGCAGCAGGGCUGUCCAUCCCUCCUGGGGCCUGUCCCCACCUCCCAGGCCCUGUCCUUCCCUCCCAGGGCCCAUCCUUCCCUCGUGGGGCCCAUUCCCCACUCCCAGGACCUAUUCCUCCCUCCUGGGCCUGUCCUCCCCAUACCAGGAUGGGUCCUUUCCUCCUGAGGUCUGCCCCCCAUCUCAGGGCAUGUCCCCCCCUCCCGGGGCCUGUCCCUCAUAGCCACACAGCCUGCAGGCAUCUGCAGCUUCAACCUGCUGCCCCAUGGGACCCCAGAGUCUUCCAGGGCCUCUUUACAGGCUGAGGGGGUGGGGAGGGAGCAUGUGGGCUGAGCCCCCCUCCCGCCCCCACAAAGGCCCCGGUGACCCUACCUGGCCCUCCC
Molecule: long non-coding RNA, 1015 nt
Filed under: Canis lupus familiaris (dog)
Lineage: Eukaryota; Metazoa; Chordata; Mammalia; Carnivora; Canidae
Description: lncRNA (ENSCAFG00040017875.1)
Source: RNAcentral